This 253-nucleotide ribosomal RNA is filed under the name uncultured bacterium. RNAcentral's name for it is "partial 16S ribosomal RNA". It matches the Rfam family "Bacterial small subunit ribosomal RNA", at positions 524 to 776 of the family's 1533-position model. The record is from RNAcentral.
UACAGAGGGUGCGAGCGUUAAUCGGAGUUACUGGGCGUAAAGGGUGCGUAGGUGGUUUUGUAAGUUAGGUGUGAAAGUCCUGGGCUUAACCUGGGGACUGCGCCUGAUACUGUGAGACUAGAGUAUUGUAGAGGAAAGUGGAAUUUCCGGUGUAGCGGUGAAAUGCGUAGAUAUCGGAAGGAACAUCAGUGGCGAAGGCGACUUUCUGGACAAAUACUGACACUGAGGCACGAAAGCGUGGGGAGCAAACAGG